GUGGGGAAUAUUGGACAAUGGGCGAAAGCCUGAUCCAGCCAUGCCGCGUGUGUGAAGAAGGUCUUCGGAUUGUAAAGCACUUUAAGUUGGGAGGAAGGGCAGUAAGUUAAUACCUUGCUGUUUUGACGUUACCAACAGAAUAAGCACCGGCUAACUUCGUGCCAGCAGCCGCGGUAAUACGAAGGGUGCAAGCGUUAAUCGGAAUUACUGGGCGUAAAGCGCGCGUAGGUGGUUUUGUGAGUUGGAGGUGAAAUCCCCGGGCUCAACCUGGGAACUGCCUCCAAAACUGCAUGACUAGAGUACGGUAGAGGGUAGUGGAAUUUCCUGUGUAGCGGUGAAAUGCGUAGAUAUAGGAAGGAACACCAGUGGCGAAGGCGACUACCUGGACUGAUACUGACACUGAGGUGCGAAAGCGUGGGGAGCAAACAGGAUUAGAAACCCUGGUAGUCC
RNAcentral lists this ribosomal RNA (450 nucleotides) under uncultured bacterium. RNAcentral's name for it is "partial 16S ribosomal RNA". It matches the Rfam family "Bacterial small subunit ribosomal RNA", at positions 354 to 796 of the family's 1533-position model. The record is from RNAcentral.